RNAcentral lists this long non-coding RNA (1438 nucleotides) under Mus musculus (house mouse). RNAcentral's name for it is "RIKEN cDNA 1810019D21 gene". Lineage: Eukaryota; Metazoa; Chordata; Mammalia; Rodentia; Muridae. The record is from RNAcentral.
GGCAAUUCUGUGACACUUUCCAAUCUAAGGCCGACAGAGCAAGGCAACCAGAUUUUUUUCUACAGCACCCUCCCAGGUGAGCAGUGGGCCUGGAGCCCUUCUGUAACCUGGCAUCUGUAGGUCUUCUCAUUAAGAACGAGAGUCAGAAGAGGAAAGGACUUAACACUCAUUACAACUCAGUCAUGGGGCUCUGAAGCGUCCCGAGGUCCCCUCUUUCCCACCCUACCUGUCGGCUGCGCGGCUCCACCACUUGCCAAACUAGGAGGAUUAAGUCGGUCUCGUCCGAGCCUAGGUCCGGCCCCAGCGCACCGGCAGUGGCCCCGAACAAAACCACCAGCGACUGAGGGUCACGCAAGACCCAUGGAAUUCAACAGGAGGCAAUCUAGGGACUAUAAAAGGUCGCGACGUCUGGCUUGAGGUUAAUGGAAGUUACAAAGGGUCAAAAGCCGACAGUGAGCGCUACCAGGUGUCGGGUCGGCGUAGUGCCGGCAGUGCAAGGCGCACGUUACUGUGGACCUGAAGGCUCAGGCCUUGGUGCCAAGGCCGCCCUGUGGGCUCAGGAUAGUUUCCCACCUACUCGACUGUAAUUAGUACUCUGGCGAGAGUAAAAAGGUACUGGCGUGGGACUUAGAAUACAGGAUGCCACCGGCUGAAGAAGAACCUUGUGUGUUUGGAAAAGCGGGCUGCUUCCUAUCGGUCUUGGAUAAAAGGCAACCCAGAGCCCGGGUGCAUCCCUAACUCAUGCCCAAGGAAGGUCGUGCGGAGCCAGAGGACCUAGAAUGUAUAGUGCGCCUUCUGGGUUUGUCCACACAAUAGCGCAGGAACACAGCGACCCAAUAUAGUGAGAAGUGGCCGCAGCGCACACCCUGAGACCCUUCACCAGGCGGCCCACCCGGAGCCUGCCUACUCAGCCCCGCUACCACGAUAAGCCUGGAAUGUCAAAUAUUUGUUCUAGGAACCCAGUGAAACCUUGAGGUAAAGCCCCUCCCCUCCUCCCUCCCAUUCCGGAGCGCGCCUGCGUCAGUCCAGGCUUUCCGGUAAGGACACUCCCUUCCAACUAGUUCCUUCUCGACACCCCUGCAACCCAUCGUCCUGACUAUUUAAACUUCACAAGGUCUUCGCUACAGGCUCAGGUUCAGUGAGGCAGAGUCUUGGCUUCCCUACCCAGUUAUCCCAGAGCUACUGGUAUCGGUUUCUACCCACAACCUCCGAGCAAGGCUCCCCUUUCAACCUGUAGACCUCGCCUCCCGAUUCUCGGGAGAUCUUGCUGACUGUGGAAUCCCUGGCUGUUCCGAACCCCCUGGAAAGAAGCGGCUGUUCCCAGGUUUCUGCAAGGUAACGAAUCUGAAGAGUCAACAGAAUUGAGCGGCUCCAUUCAUUCGACUCUGGUUCUCUCAACCAGGCAUUCCCCAUAUUAAAACAAUUCCAGAACUUCAAA